RNAcentral lists this long non-coding RNA (3161 nucleotides) under Homo sapiens (human). RNAcentral describes it as "HSALNT0314387". Lineage: Eukaryota; Metazoa; Chordata; Mammalia; Primates; Hominidae. The record is from RNAcentral.
CAGCCAGAAGAGCAGAUCUGAUUUGAGGGCAGCUGGGAAGCCGUCCAAUCUGGAGAGCCUCUACAAUUAGCAAAACAAGGUCUGGAAUUCCUGGACUUCACUCCUUGUUAGCGAGAAAGCGAAACACGUGAUGUUCUGCUUUGCUCUCAGUGUCAAAACCUUGUGCUCAUGGGCCCUGGCGGCUACACAGAAAGCCCUGAGGACUGAAACCCUGCAUGGGUACAUUUUGAUGGGGCAGGAAGAAAAGUUCUGGAGUGUGGAGAGCAGAGGUCCAGAGCAUUCACUGAUUUAGCCACAGAAGAAACAGAUGCGGAAACCGGGGCACAGCAGGCGAAGUGAAACUUCCCAUGUUCCAGCAAAGCCCAGUCCAUAACGUGAGGCUUUGUGAGGUUUGUGUGUGCGACCUUCACCCCUUCACCUGGACCCUCUCUUUGUCCUCCUUUCGCACCCAGUGAUGUGUGGCCUGGAUCACUUCCCUGCCCUCAAGUCUUGCCCUGGCCUGACGUUCAGCGGACCCUCCGUGCAUUAAGGAUGGAGGAUGGUUCCUUGUGCUUCCUCUACCAGGUGCACUUGUAUCUGCUCGGAAUUCUGGAAGAGCAAAGACCCACUGGCCCCACUAAUCCAUCUAUUGAUCCUGCCCCGGUCAGCAGGCUGGGUCUAGCCUCCACACUGCCGCUGCUCAGGGUCUGUGGAGGAAGUCGCUGCAGCCAUUCAGCCAGAUGAAUCGCAAUUAAUAAAUGUGGAACGAAUGAGAGACGAAGACGAUGAGCACCAGAGGACUGCAGGGAGCACGGCUGAGGCAACAUCACCAGAGGAUAGUAAAAUUAGCAGACAGAGAUCUAAGCACAAACAGUGUCUCUGUGUAGCCUUAAAGCAUCUCUUUGAAUAUUUAAUGGUUACAAAGGAAAAACAGUGAGUUGAUGGGGGAGAACCCUGGCAGGCACCACCCUAACCAAGAGAUCAAAGUUGGCAUGACCAGGCACAAGGCACACUAACAGCCCACACCCACUGAUCUGGCCCACCGAAAAUGCACAUCACUUCUGUGGCAUUGCCACGGAAUUUCCAAAAAGGCAUUACCUCAGUCCAAUGCAGAGAAGGCGUCAGGCAGACCUAGGCGGAGAGACUGUCCAAGAGCGACAGACCCAUCCUCUUAAAAAGCCGGCCCUGACACAGAAAGGAGACAGAGAAAGGUGACAGCCAAAUGCACGUGGGAGCUGGGAACAGAGGAGGGCACUGGGAGGGGCCUGCCUGCCGUCCAGCUCUCGAGACCACGGCGAGAUUCAGAAGGGAAUUGGGCCAUUCCUUCUCCAAAGCAGAACGUACUGCAGCUGUGAGAGUUCUAGGAGAAAAUUCAGGUGGAUGCUUCUGUAAUCUUGGAAUGGAGGCUAAGCCUGGCAACAAUGCUAGAAAACAGUGCUGAAGUUUGACAGAUUUAGCCACAUACAAUGGCAAAUGACAAACUGUAAAAGGAAUUCUUGUGAGACAGAGGAAGGAAGGAAGGAAGGAAGGAAGGAAGGAAGGAAGGAAGGUAGGAAGGAAGAAAGGAAGGAAGGAAGGGGCACCCUAAUAGGGCAAACAGUAGUAUAGGUCAGAAAUAACUUUGAAAGAACCACAGGGUGCUGGUGGGCCAAUCAGGGACAGACAGACCCCCUCUUCCAGGGGCUGGGCUGGGCUGGGGUGGGGUCCACAGGUGCAGCCCUGGAGCUGGGCUUGCCUGUCUGCAUCCAAGCAUCCCUGUGCUUUCCCUGUGAGCUGGCAGUCCCCACUAUGAGAUUCUAGCCUGGGAAUGUGCUAUAGGGAAGCUUACAGCAGCAGAUCAUAGAAAAGCAAAAUAGAAAUGUGAAAGGAAAAUAAAAACUUGGGACCCCUACUCCCUCCGCCAAAAGAAAAAAAAAAUGCUGAAAGUGGAGUCAUGCAAGAAGCUGCCUUUCCCUUUGUUCCUAAGCAGAUAGAGACAGAUAAAAGGUUAAAGAUCUCCACUCUGCAUUCACCUUAUCUUGUGUGAAGAGUCGAGUUACUGAGCAUGGGACGAACACAUAACUGACCAUUCCCCUACAUGCUCCUUUUCUUUUGCAACAUUUGGAUUCAGUAAUGUGACCAUACCCUCCCUCUGUCCCCUCCAGCUGGCUUUUUCCUUUAAAUACUGAAGCCCUCGAAAUCAUCUUUGGAGAAAGGCACAGACCUGUCUCCCAAGACGUGUCCUUAAUCUUGGCAAAGUAAACUUCUAAGUUGAUCGAGGCUUGUCUCAGAUAUUUUCAGGUUUACAGAAAGAAAUUCAAUUUCAGUCACAAACGGAAUGAUAAAAUAAGUUGUUACGCAUCCAUAGAAAGAAGAUAUUAACAUGAUGAACUUUCAAAUCAGCUUCUCAAGUGUCAACAUCCUGUUGCGAUUUUCAUUGAUAUUGAACUGAAUUUAUAGAUUUUGUAAGCAGAAAAAAAUUAUUUUAAUUUUUUGAGAAAAAAAGUUUUAAAUGGUUUGUUUUCAGACUGUGUCAAGAUAUCCCUACCUCCGAAGUUGUCAGGUUUGCGGACCUUGGGGUGAAGCGUGGGGCUGCUGGAGGCGUCCAGCCCUGACUGUGUGUCCAGGACAAUGAGCCCCGAAGUGAGCGGGCCGCGUCCUGUUGGCGCAGCCAACUUCACGCCCUCUGUCCAGGGAGGACUAAGGGACAAGCUGCAGCAGGCGCAGAGGACGCUGUUGGUGUCCGGGAGGCCGCUGGUACAGGGCGUUGGGCGUGGCUCCUUUCCAAGUGCCUUGCACUUUCCAGGCUGGGCUGCAGAAGCAGGCUCGGGGGCGACUCGCGUGGGGACUGAAGCAGCCAGCCUUGGCACCUGCCCACAGCAAAUAACUGCCUUGACUUGAUCUGGUUUUUUUGAAGAAAGGUUUAUUCAUACCCAUUAUGUGCGCAUGUGUAAAUUCAAACCCACGGCUUGCCGGAGCCUGGGCUUUCUCGAACAUCAGUUGCUCCCAUGCUACCAUUUUGCAGUUUGCCCGUCUCCAGUAGAUGAUUUCUGAAUAUUUUAAUCAACUCAUUAUUAACCAUUCACACGUCUACCUUAGCCUCAUUUUAAGCAAUUGCACCUGUGGGUUUCACAGGCCUGCUGUAUUUUUAGUACAUAUUAAAUAAAGCAUGUCUGUUGGGGCGUGCUGUGCUUGCCCACCUG